Molecule: ribosomal RNA, 301 nt
Filed under: uncultured bacterium
Lineage: Bacteria
Description: partial 16S ribosomal RNA
Rfam family: Bacterial small subunit ribosomal RNA
Source: RNAcentral
CAGCCGCCGCGGGAAUACGUAGGGUGCAAGCGUUAAUCGGAAUUACUGGGCGUAAAGGGUGCGUAGGCGGUUAGUUAAGUCUGUCGUGAAAUCCCCGGGCUCAACCUGGGAAUUGCAGUGGAUACUGGGUCACUAGAGUGUGGUAGAGGAUAGUGGAAUUUCCGGUGUAGCAGUGAAAUGCGUAGAGAUCGGAAGGAACAUCUGUGGCGAAGGCGAUUAUCUGGGCCAACACUGACACUGAGGCACGAAAGCGUGGGGAGCAAACAGGAUUAGAUACCCGCGUAGUCCCUGUCUCUUAUAC